This 497-nucleotide ribosomal RNA is filed under the name uncultured bacterium. RNAcentral describes it as "partial 16S ribosomal RNA". It matches the Rfam family "Bacterial small subunit ribosomal RNA", at positions 28 to 507 of the family's 1533-position model. The record is from RNAcentral.
GAUGAACGCUGGCGGCGUGCCUAAUACAUGCAAGUCGAGCGAACAGACGAGGAGCUUGCUCCUCUGACGUUAGCGGCGGACGGGUGAGUAACACGUGGAUAACCUACCUAUAAGACUGGGAUAACUUCGGGAAACCGGAGCUAAUACCGGAUAAUAUAUUGAACCGCAUGGUUCAAUAGUGAAAGACGGUUUUGCUGUCACUUAUAGAUGGAUCCGCGCCGCAUUAGCUAGUUGGUAAGGUAACGGCUUACCAAGGCAACGAUGCGUAGCCGACCUGAGAGGGUGAUCGGCCAGACUGGGACUGAGACACGGUCCAGACGCCUACGGGAGGCAGCAGUAGGGAAUCGUCCGCAAUGGGCGAAAGCCUGACGGAGCAGCGCCGCGUGAGGGAGGAAGGUCUUCGGAUCGUAGAACUCUGUUAUUAGGGAAGAACAAAUGUGUAAGUAACUAGGCACGUCUGGACGGUACCUAAUCAGAAAGCCACGGCUAACUACGUG